UACGUAGGGUGCAAGCGUUAAUCGGAAUUACUGGGCGUAAAGCGUGCGCAGGCGGUUGUGUAAGACAGAUGUGAAAUCCCCGGGCUCAACCUGGGAACUGCAUUUGUGACUGCACAGCUGGAGUGCGGCAGAGGGGGAUGGAAUUCCGCGUGUAGCAGUGAAAUGCGUAGAGAUGCGGAGGAACACCGAUGGCGAAGGCAGCCCCCUGGGCUAACACUGACGCUCAGGCACGAAAGCGUGGGGAGCAAACAGG
This 253-nucleotide ribosomal RNA is filed under the name uncultured bacterium. RNAcentral's name for it is "partial 16S ribosomal RNA". It matches the Rfam family "Bacterial small subunit ribosomal RNA", at positions 524 to 776 of the family's 1533-position model. The record is from RNAcentral.